Molecule: ribosomal RNA, 253 nt
Filed under: uncultured bacterium
Lineage: Bacteria
Description: partial 16S ribosomal RNA
Rfam family: Bacterial small subunit ribosomal RNA
Source: RNAcentral
UACGGAGGAUGCGAGCGUUAAUCGGAAUUACUGGGUGUAAAGGGAGCGUAGACGGUAAUGUAAGUCUGGAGUGAAAGGCGGGGGCCCAACCCCCGGACUGCUCUGGAAACUAUGUUACUAGAGUGCAGGAGAGGUAAGCGGAAUUCCUAGUGUAGCGGUGAAAUGCGUAGAUAUUAGGAGGAACACCAGUGGCGAAGGCGGCUUACUGGACUGUAACUGACGUUGAGGCUCGAAAGCGUGGGGAGCAAACAGG